Molecule: non-coding RNA, 31 nt
Filed under: Mus musculus (house mouse)
Lineage: Eukaryota; Metazoa; Chordata; Mammalia; Rodentia; Muridae
Source: RNAcentral
UAAUUGUCAGGUAAAGCCUCUUCAUCAAAUG